GCGACUGAUAAGAUGCGAGGGCUUCACCGCCUAUCAAGUCUUGCCAAACUCCGAAUGCUCGGCAGUAAGACGCCAGGAGUGAGGGGCAGGGUGCUAAGGUCCUGUCCCGAGAGGAGAAGAAUCCGGACCACCGGCUAAGGUCCCGAAAUAAUGGCCGAGUUAGUCAAACGAAGUAGGAUUGCCGUGACAGCUAGGAUGUUGGCUUGGAAGCAGCCAUCCAUUUAAAGAGUGCGUAACAGCUCACUAGUCGAGGAAUCCUGCGUGGAUAAUAAUCGGGUAUAAGCCAUUUACCGAAGCCGUGGGAACCGCAAGGUUCGGUAGGGGAGCAUUCCAUGUCCGCGGAAGGCGCGGCGCGAGCCGUACUGGAGGGGAUGGAAAAGCAAAUGUAGGUAUAAGUAACGAUAAAGGGGGCGUGAAACCCCCUCGCCGUAAGACCAAGGAUUCCUGAUCAACGCUAAUCGGAUCAGGGUAAGUCGGGGCCUAAGGCUCAGCCGAAGGGCGAGGCCGAUGGAUGAAACGUUUAAUAUUCCGUUACUGCCGCAUCCCGUGACGUGGUGACGGAGCAGUGAAAGUGCCGCCGUCUGACGGAAAAGACGGUUGAAGGGUGUAGAUGCCGACUGCCGCAGGCAAAUCCACGGCAGGAGUCGAACCUGAAAGUAUGGCGCGUCCUUCGGGACAAGCCAAUAGCGCACGUAACCAUACUCCCAAGAAAACCCGCUAAACAAAAAGGAUGUGGUACCCGUACCGUAAACGGACACACGUGGUCGGGUAGAAUAUACCAAGGCGCUUGAGUGAAUCACGGUUAAGGAACUAGGCAAAUUGUCCCUGUAACUUCGGGAAAAAGGGUCCUCAUUGUAAGAUGAGGCGCAGAGAAUAGGUCCAGGCAACUGUUUACCAAAAACACAGGGCUGUGCGAAUAUGAAAAUAGAAGUAUACAGCCUGACACCUGCCCGGUGCCGGAAGGUUAAGAGGAGAGGUCAUCGCAAGAGAAGCCUUGAAUUGAAGCCCCGGUAAACGGCGGCCGUAACUAUAACGGUCCUAAGGUAGCGAAAUUCCUUGUCGGGUAAGUUCCGACCUGCACGAAUGGUGUAAUGAUCUGGACACUGUCUCAACCGUGAGCUCAGUGAAAUUGUAGUAUCGGUGAAGAUGCCGAUUACCCGCGAUGGGACGAAAAGACCCCGUGAACCUUUACUAUAGCUUAGCAUUGGAGACGGGCACGUGAUGUGUAGGAUAGGUCGGAGGCUGUGAAGUGCGUACGCCAGUACGCGUGGAGCCGCUGUUGAAAUACGACCCUUCAUUUGUCUGUCUCCUAACCCGCGUGGCGCGGGGACAUUGCUUGGUGGGUAGUUUGACUGGGGUGGUCGCCUCCA
RNAcentral lists this ribosomal RNA (1370 nucleotides) under human gut metagenome. RNAcentral's name for it is "bacterial LSU rRNA". It matches the Rfam family "Bacterial large subunit ribosomal RNA", at positions 907 to 2291 of the family's 2925-position model. The record is from RNAcentral.